GAUGAACGCUGGCGGCGUGCCUAAUACAUGCAAGUCGAGCGAACAGACGAGAAGCUUGCUUCUCUGAUGUUAGCGGCGGACGGGUGAGUAACACGUGGAUAACCUACCUAUAAGACUGGGAUAACUUCGGGAAACCGGAGCUAAUACCGGAUGAUAUUUUGAACCGCAUGGUUCAAAAGUGAAAGACGGUCUUGCUGUCACUUAUAGAUGGAUCCGCGCUGCAUUAGCUAGUUGGUAAGGUAACGGCUUACCAAGGCAACGAUGCAUAGCCGACCUGAGAGGGUGAUCGGCCACACUGGAACUGAGACACGGUCCAGACUCCUACGGGAGGCAGCAGUAGGGAAUCUUCCGCAAUGGGCGAAAGCCUGACGGAGCAACGCCGCGUGAGUGAUGAAGGUCUUCGGAUCGUAAAACUCUGUUAUUAGGGAAGAACAUAUGUGUAAGUAACUGUGCACAUCUUGACGGUACCUAAUCAGAAAGCCACGGCUAACUACGUGCCAGCAGCCGCGGUAAUACGUAGGUGGCAAGCGUUAUCCGGAAUUAUUGGGCGUAAAGCGCGCGUAGGCGGUUUUUUAAGUCUGAUGUGAAAGCCCACGGCUCAACCGUGGAGGGUCAUUGGAAACUGGAAAACUUGAGUGCAGAAGAGGAAAGUGGAAUUCCAUGUGUAGCGGUGAAAUGCGCAGAGAUAUGGAGGAACACCAGUGGCGAAGGCGACUUUCUGGUCUGUAACUGACGCUGAUGUGCGAAAGCGUGGGGAUCAAACAGGAUUAGAUACCCUGGUAGUCCACGCCGUAAACGAUGAGUGCUAAGUGUUAGGGGGUUUCCGCCCCUUAGUGCUGCAGCUAACGCAUUAAGCACUCCGCCUGGGGAGUACGACCGCAAGGUUGAAACUCAAAGGAAUUGACGGGGACCCGCACAAGCGGUGGAGCAUGUGGUUUAAUUCGAAGCAACGCGAAGAACCUUACCAAAUCUUGACAUCCUUUGACAACUCUAGAGAUAGAGCCUUCCCCUUCGGGGGACAAAGUGACAGGUGGUGCAUGGUUGUCGUCAGCUCGUGUCGUGAGAUGUUGGGUUAAGUCCCGCAACGAGCGCAACCCUUAAGCUUAGUUGCCAUCAUUAAGUUGGGCACUCUAAGUUGACUGCCGGUGACAAACCGGAGGAAGGUGGGGAUGACGUCAAAUCAUCAUGCCCCUUAUGAUUUGGGCUACACACGUGCUACAAUGGACAAUACAAAGGGCAGCGAAACCGCGAGGUCAAGCAAAUCCCAUAAAGCUGUUCUCAGUUCGGAUUGUAGUCUGCAACUCGACUACAUGAAGCUGGAAUCGCUAGUAAUCGUAGAUCAGCAUGCUACGGUGAAUACGUUCCCGGGUCU
Molecule: ribosomal RNA, 1372 nt
Filed under: uncultured bacterium
Lineage: Bacteria
Description: bacterial SSU rRNA
Rfam family: Bacterial small subunit ribosomal RNA
Source: RNAcentral